CACAUUACCAUUGUCUGUAGUAAUAUCAUCACAGAUCAAUUGAUUUUAGUUGGAUUUUUACCAUUUUUUCUGUGAAAUGAGUAUACUGUUUGGUGAAAAGAAUGGCAUAUUGGCUGAUGUCAUAACUUGGGGUAAUAGUUGAUUGCCAAUGAAGUAAAGAUGAAAAUAUUGAAAAAAAAAGUGAGAAAACGCCUAUUUUUUGCAUUAAAUUGAGCCAAAAUCAUGUAGAAAAGUCUUUUAAGAGUUAUUUUGUCAGUGUAUGUUGUCAGCACAUAUGCUCUGUGUAACUGGAAUGUAUUUAUUGACAGCCUACCCAAACCACUGACGAUUUGAGGGAAAGAAUCACCUCUCACAUUUUUCUGAUAAAAAGUGAAGGAUGCAUACACUAAAAUGGGCACAAUUUUUUUUCACGAUAUUUCUGGCAGAGCAGACCCUCCAAUUAUUGUUGCUUAGGGUCAGAAUUAACAUGAAAAACACAAAUAAAAA
Thalassophryne amazonica is the source of this 486-nucleotide long non-coding RNA. RefSeq lists it as uncharacterized. The transcript has 3 exons. NCBI's taxonomy places the organism in Eukaryota, Metazoa, Chordata, Actinopteri, Batrachoidiformes, Batrachoididae. The record is from RefSeq and is a predicted model, not a curated record.